This 408-nucleotide ribosomal RNA is filed under the name uncultured Chrysophyceae. RNAcentral describes it as "SSU rRNA". It matches the Rfam family "Eukaryotic small subunit ribosomal RNA", at positions 592 to 998 of the family's 1831-position model. Lineage: Eukaryota; Chrysophyceae. The record is from RNAcentral.
CAAUAGCGUAUACUAAAGUUGUUGCAGUUAAAAAGCUCGUAGUUGACUUUCUGGUCGUGGGCUUCGGUCCGUCCCUCACGGGAUGUGUUACUGGAGUUCUGCAGCCAUCUUCGGGGCGUUUUCAUGCCUGGGAUUUACUUCUCGGGUAUGGGGAUCCUCGUCAUUUACUGUGAGUAAAAUAGAGUGUUCAAAGCAGGCUGUAAGCCGUUGAAUAUAUUAGCAUGGAAUAAUAAGAUAAGACUUUGGUCUAUUUUGUUGGUUUGUGUCCAAAGAAAUGAGCAAUAGGGACAGUUGGGGGUAUUCGUAUUCAAUUGUCAGAGGUGAAAUUCUUGGAUUUAUGGAAGACGAACUACUGCGAAAGCAUUUACCAAGGAUGUUUUCAUUAAUCAAGAACGAAAGUUAGGGGAU